CUACGGGAGGCUCCAGUGAGGAAUAUUGCACAAUGGGGGGAACCCUGAUGCAGCAACGCCGCGUGGAGGAUGACGCAUUUCGGUGUGUAAACUCCUUUUAUAUGUCAAGAAAAUGACGGUAGCAUAUGAAUAAGCACCGGCUAACUCCGUGCCAGCAGCCGCGGUAAUACGGAGGGCGCAAGCGUUACUCGGAAUCACUGGGCGUAAAGAGCGUGUAGGCGGAUUAAAAAGUCAGAAGUGAAAUCCUAUAGCUUAACUAUAGAACUGCUUCUGAAACUCUUAAUCUAGAAUAUGGGAGAGGUAGAUGGAAUUUCUGGUGUAGGGGUAAAAUCCGUAGAUAUCACUAGGAAUACCUAAAGCGAAGGCGAUCUCCUGGAACAUUACUGACGCUAAGGCGUGAAAGCGUGGGGAGCAAACAGGAUUAGAUACCCGGGUAGUC
Molecule: ribosomal RNA, 439 nt
Filed under: uncultured bacterium
Lineage: Bacteria
Description: partial 16S ribosomal RNA
Rfam family: Bacterial small subunit ribosomal RNA
Source: RNAcentral